RNAcentral lists this long non-coding RNA (3046 nucleotides) under Nicotiana benthamiana. Its description in RNAcentral is "long non-coding RNA (NBEN_LNC039609)". The record is from RNAcentral. Lineage: Eukaryota; Viridiplantae; Streptophyta; Magnoliopsida; Solanales; Solanaceae.
UUUUUCCUUAUAACCAUUUGGUAUUCGAAAAUUAUUGGCUCGUCUAAUUAAAAUUCGUGCUGGGUAAGAUUCAUAAGAGGUAAAGUUCUCCAUUGAGAGUUCUUUAUUUUUAGAAUAAAAAUUUCAUAAGGCACCCUAUUUCGUCACUUUUAUUUACCUUAUGGCUUAUACUCACUUUUUUUAAAAAAAAAUAAUUGAUAUUUAAAUUUUUGGUAACUUCAUAUACAUACAAUUUUCUCUUCUUCUUAAUUUGCAACACAUCAAUGUAUGCUUAAGGUUUCUCUUUCUUGUUCUUCUUAAUUUGCAAAAUACCAUUGUAGGUUAUGCUUAGGAUUUCUUUUUCUUUUUCUUAGUUCCAAAAUAAGUUUAUUAUAUUUAUUGUUGUUUUGAUAAUUUGAUAAUUGGAGUUUAUUUUUUAUGAUAUUUAAAAGUUAUAUUUCAAAUUUAAACUUAUUUAGAGUUGAUUUGGCCAUUGAAUCGUGUGUUGAGUUAUUGAAAUUCGAAGAAUAAGUUUAUGUUUGUGAUGAACCGAUAGGUCAUCUAGAGUUUUAAACCCUAAUUCGUGUUUCAAACCUCACAAACCUCAUUUUAGCCUUCCUCAAUUUAUGUCCGCAGUUCGGGUGUUUUUCGGAAAUCUUUUAUGCUAAAAACUGAAAAAAUAUGAAAUUUUGCCUUAAAAUCCAUAUGAGUUGAUUUCGCUUAACGUUUUGAGUAAACGGAUUCGGAUCCGUGUGUUGACGGUCCCGGUGGAUCCAUAUCAUGAUUUAGGACUUGGGCGUAUGCCCGAAAUCAUUCGAAGGUCCCUAGCUCGAGUUAUCACUUUUUUUCCAAAAUUUGAAAGUUUAAAGACUUAAUGAAUCUAAAAGUUUGAUCAAUGUUUGACUUUGUUGAUAUCGGGAUCUGUAUUUUGGUUCUGAAAUUCGAAAUAGGUCCAUUACUUUAUUUAUGAAUUGUCUGUCAAAUUUGGGGAGAAACGGAAUUGGUUUGGCGUGAUUCAGACGUCCGGUUGUUAAAAUAGUAAUUCUAAACUUUUCUUAAAAAAUCAUUUGAUUUUGGUGUUCGGUUCAUGGUCUUAGGUGUUAUUUGGGUGAUUUGAUCGCGCAAGCAAGUUCAUAUGAUGUUUUUAGACUUGUGUGCAUGUUUGGUUUGGAGCUCCGAAGGCUUGGGUGAGUUUCAGAUAGGCUGCAGAGUGAGUUUGGACUUAGAAACGUAGCUGAUGCAUUUAGUUUCUGGUGCCUGUUGGAGAUUUGGCCUCGCAUUUGCGAAGAACCAUCACAUUUGUGAGCAUGGACAUGGCAGGGGACACUCGUAUUUGCGAAGUAAAAGUUCGCAUUUACGAAUAUUCCAUUUCCGCUUUUGCGAAGGUAGAGUCGCAUUUGCGACUCAACACCUUUUGUGAUGAUUUUUGCAUUUGCAAAGAAAGGUCUGCAUCUGCAAGGACAUCAGAGUUCGCAUUUGCUUACCAUUUCAUCGCAAAUGCGAUUACUAGGAUUCUGAGAGGAGUUCGCAAUUGCGACAUCUUUCUCGCAAUUGCGAACAAGAUAUCACAAUUGCGACAUCUGCAACUGCGUAAAAGUUGAGUUAUACAUAUUUGUCAUUAAUCUCAAGCUUCCUAUCUAUUUCCUUCUCUAGCCUCCUUUAUUUCAUUCAUAUUUAAUAAAAUUUUGUCAUCAUCACAAAUUUUUCAAUUAAUAUAGCUUUUUUUCCUUGUGAGUAAUUUCAGCUACAUCUAUAGAUGAAAAUAGCUAGCUUAUGCCUUUGUUGAUGUAGAUAUGGUAACCAAGCAUUUGUAGAGAAGGUUGUUCUUUAUCUAUUUUCGAUUUAUCUUUGUCAUUGUUGCAUUUUUUUUUGAACAAUGGCCUUGUUGUGGUGAUGAUACGGUGGUGUGAGCCAUGGCUUAUUGGCUUUUGAUGUUUUUAUUUCUUUCUGGGAUUAAAUCACUUGGGAUCCUAAUUUUUGGGUUGAAUUGUGUGUUCUAGUUUUUCGGGUGGUCCAUGGAGAAGGAGAUGGAGGUGGAAGAGAUGGAGUUGGAGAAGAUGAGGGUAUAUGUGUAAUUUUAUAUUUUUCUCUUUUUAUUUGUGUUAAUAACACGCGUCACGACCUUAUUGGUGCGCGUGACAUUACUCAUAUUUAGGUAAAGUGGUCAAAAAAAAAGUUGUGUGUCUUACACACUUUUAAAAGGUUGAGUGGGUAACAUUAUUUUUGCCCACAUAAAGUGGGUAACGGGAAUUUGAUUCAUAGUUCGGGUGCCAACAUGUGUAUUUUGACUUUUGGUAAAAUAAAGCAUUUUAUAAUUAGUUAAAGCACUCAACAGGCUAAAGCCAGUAGACUUCACAAAUUCUAUCAAGGUCUCUACUCUAUACUUUAUAGAGAUGUAAUACAAAAGCUUCUAAAUCGAGAUUAAAAACCAUGCACCAACUUCCUUUUCUCAGAUUAAUUCUUCAUAGCGGGAUUACUCUAUUAUAGAGCAAAAUUUAAAAAGAAAAUACAACUACAAGCGAUUAAUAAAAUAAAGUUAUAGCUUCUUUUAAUACAAUAUGUCUUCAAGCUAUUAGCUUGAAUUACCAUAUUGUACCUCUACUGUACGGGGCCAGGUUUAUCUAAACUUAUAUCAUUACUAUAAGAGAACUACAAGCAACUACUGUUAUUCACUAACAUUUGAACUUCUACGAUUUAUCCCAAUUUAUACCAUUAAUCAUCUUAAGAAUCAAGAAACUGGAAUUCUCACUUUACUAUGUCUUCCUAGGCCUUCCUAGACCUCGACCAUUUUGUUUCUUCUUUGACUUCUUAGAUACUCCCAACUUCUUCAAAAUUGUAGUACCUGGUUUGGCCUCGUCGUCGUUGCCCUUGGGGAUCCUCCCACGAUGCUUUUGUAUUUGUUGCUUUAAGUGCACCUCAUGCUGAGAAUCAUUCGAACAUAACACCUCCUCAUUUGAUCUUUUAUCAGGCAACGCCUCCUCAUUUGUUGUCAGCACCGAAACUGUACUAGUACCUAGUUUGGCCUCAUCCUCCUUGUACUUAGGAGGCCUCUGACGAAGCUGACGUU